AGAAGAACAUUUAGUUUAAAGAGAGGGGCUUUGACCUGGUCUUGGGGUUUUCCCACUCUUUGGCACACCUCACAAGACCAGACAUAGGUAGAAACAUCCUUGCCCAUUCACUCCCAGUGGAAGGACCUCCCCAACCUUUGGUCCUGUUCACCCCAGCAUGGCCACUAGGAUGAUCGUGGGCUAAGCUCAAGAGCUUUACCUGGUACUUAGUUGGAACUACUAACUGUCUCUGAGGAUGCCAGUCUUCCUGGUGCCCACCAGAAAGAGCUUCCUUGUAGAAACUUUUAAGAGGACUUUUAUACAACAAACCGGGAUCGAUUAGAAGAGCUGAGAGGUGGUAGGUUGCUCCAUGCUGCUGUCCAAACUCCCUGGAGGCUUUCAUCUGCUUCCUGUUCAGCCUGGAACUGUUCCCUUGAUGCUGAAGACAUUAGUUCCUUACUGGAUUGUGGAUUUGGGCUUGAUCCAUCUGGAAGCGAUGCAGGUGAUGGGGCUGUUUCCGUUGACUGUGAACCGCUCUCCGCUGGUGCACUAUGUUGUGUUUCAGGCUCUGGCUGAGCCUUUUUCAUAGGUUUAACUGCUGCUGCCAGUGCAGGCUCAGUGGUGCCUUCUGGUGUUGGAGCUGUAGAUAGGGUUGCAAGCGCUGAACUCAGUGCUGGUUGCUUUGCCAGUUCCAGUUCUGGGACUGGAUCUGGCUGCAUAUCUGGGACUGGAUCCACUACGGCUGUUGCAGUCGUUGGCAGGGGAUCCGGUUCUAUCACCUCAGUCUGGGUCUCUGGUAACACAGACUGGGCCCUUGUUGAAGGCUCAGGAACAGAGCUAGGUGUGACAGCUCGCUUAGCCUGGCUGCGGGUGACCAUUCCCACCCUCUUA
Long non-coding RNA from Dermochelys coriacea (leatherback sea turtle), 870 nucleotides. RefSeq lists it as uncharacterized. NCBI's taxonomy places the organism in Eukaryota, Metazoa, Chordata, Testudines, Dermochelyidae. The record is from RefSeq and is a predicted model, not a curated record. The transcript has 3 exons.